This 199-nucleotide ribosomal RNA is filed under the name uncultured bacterium. Its description in RNAcentral is "partial 16S ribosomal RNA". It matches the Rfam family "Bacterial small subunit ribosomal RNA", at positions 328 to 539 of the family's 1533-position model. The record is from RNAcentral.
ACGCUCGACACCUACGGGAGGCAGCAGUGGGGAAUAUUGCACAAUGGAGGGAAACUCUGAUGCAGCGAUGCCGCGUGAGGGAAGAAGGUUUUCGGAUUGUAAACCUCUGUCUUUGGGGACGAUAAUGACGGUACCCAAGGAGGAAGCUCCGGCUAACUACGUGCCUGCAGCCGCGGUAAUCUGAGCGGGCUGGCAAGGC